Molecule: ribosomal RNA, 460 nt
Filed under: uncultured bacterium
Lineage: Bacteria
Description: partial 16S ribosomal RNA
Rfam family: Bacterial small subunit ribosomal RNA
Source: RNAcentral
CCUACGGGCGGCAGCAGUGAGGAAUAUUGGUCAAUGGACGGAAGUCUGAACCAGCCAUGCCGCGUGCAGGAAGACGGCUCUAUGAGUUGUAAACUGCUUUUGUACAAGGGUAAACCUGAAUACGUGUAUUCAGCUGAAAGUACUGUACGAAUAAGGAUCGGCUAACUCCGUGCCAGCAGCCGCGGUAAUACGGAGGAUCCAAGCGUUAUCCGGAUUUAUUGGGUUUAAAGGGUGCGUAGGCGGCUUGAUAAGUUAGAGGUGAAAUGUCCGAGCUUAACCCGGGAACUGCCUCUAAUACUGUUGAUCUGGAGUGCAGGUGCGGUAGGCGGAAUGUGUGGUGUAGCGGUGAAAUGCUUAGAGAUCAGAAAGAACACCGAUUGCGAAGGCAGCUUACUAAUCUAUAACUGACGUUGAGGCACGAAAGCGUGGGGAGCAAACAGGAUUAGAUACCCUAGUAGUC